GACGAACGCUGGCGGCGUGCUUAACACAUGCAAGUCGAACGGAAAGGCCCUGCUUUUGUGGGGUGCUCGAGUGGCGAACGGGUGAGUAACACGUGAGUAACCUGCCCCUGACUUUGGGAUAACUUCAGGAAACUGGGGCUAAUACCGGAUAGGAGCUCCUGCUGCAUGGUGGGGGUUGGAAAGUUUCGGCGGUUGGGGAUGGACUCGCGGCUUAUCAGCUUGUUGGUGGGGUAGUGGCUUACCAAGGCUUUGACGGGUAGCCGGCCUGAGAGGGUGACCGGCCACAUUGGGACUGAGAUACGGCCCAGACUGCAACGGGAGGCAGCAGUGGGGAAUAUUGCACAAUGGGCGGAAGCCUGAUGCAGCAACGCCGCGUGCGGGAUGACGGCCUUCGGGUUGUAAACCGCUUUCGCCUGUGACGAAGCGUGAGUGACGGUAAUGGGUAAAGAAGCACCGGCUAACUACGUG
RNAcentral lists this ribosomal RNA (468 nucleotides) under uncultured bacterium. RNAcentral describes it as "partial 16S ribosomal RNA". It matches the Rfam family "Bacterial small subunit ribosomal RNA", at positions 28 to 507 of the family's 1533-position model. The record is from RNAcentral.